This 107-nucleotide small nuclear RNA is filed under the name Sorex araneus (European shrew). The record is from RNAcentral. Lineage: Eukaryota; Metazoa; Chordata; Mammalia; Eulipotyphla; Soricidae.
GUGCUCGCUUCGGCAGCAAAUAUACUAAAAUUGGAACAAUACAGAGAAGAUUAGUGUGGCCCCUGCGCAAGGAUGACAUGCAAAUUUGUGACGUGUUCCAUAUUUUU